This 500-nucleotide ribosomal RNA is filed under the name uncultured bacterium. Its description in RNAcentral is "bacterial SSU rRNA". It matches the Rfam family "Bacterial small subunit ribosomal RNA", at positions 28 to 525 of the family's 1533-position model. The record is from RNAcentral.
GAUUAACGCUGGCGGCAUGCCUAAUACAUGCAAGUCGAACGGAAGCAGCAAUGCUUUAGUGGCGAACGGGUGAGUAACACGUAGGGAACCUACCUAUACGACGAGGAUAACUACUGGAAACGGUAGCUAAAACUGGAUAGGAUCAAUUGAGGCAUCUUGAUUGAUUUAAAGAUCCUUCGGGAUUACGUAGAGAUGGCCCUGCGGCGCAUUAGCUAGUUGGUGAGGUAACGGCCCACCAAGGCGACGAUGCGUAGCUGAGCUGAGAGGCUAAACAGCCACACUGGGACUGAGACACGGCCCAGACUCCUACGGGAGGCAGCAGUAGGGAAUUUUCGGCAAUGGGGGAAACCCUGACCGAGCAAUGCCGCGUGAACGAUGAAGGUCUUCGGAUUGUAAAGUUCUGUGAUUGGGGAAGAAUGGUAUUCUUAGGGAAUGAGGAGUACAUGACGGUACCCGAUUAGAAAGCCCCGGCUAACUAUGUGCCAGCAGCCGCGGUAAUU